This 531-nucleotide ribosomal RNA is filed under the name uncultured bacterium. RNAcentral's name for it is "partial 16S ribosomal RNA". It matches the Rfam family "Bacterial small subunit ribosomal RNA", at positions 355 to 876 of the family's 1533-position model. The record is from RNAcentral.
UAGGGAAUCUUCCACAAUGGACGCAAGUCUGAUGGAGCAACGCCGCGUGAGUGAAGAAGGUUUUCGGACCGUAAAGCUCUGUUGUUGGUGAAGAAGGAUAGAGGUAGUAACUGGCCUUUAUUUGACGGUAAUCAACCAGAAAGUCACGGCUAACUACGUGCCAGCAGCCGCGGUAACACGUAGGUGGCAAGCGUUGUCCGGAUUUAUUGGGCGUAAAGCGAGCGCAGGCGGAAGAAUAAGUCUGAUGUGAAAGCCCUCGGCUUAACCGAGGAAUUGCAUCGGAAACUGUUUUUCUUGAGUGCAGAAGAGGAGAGUAGAACUCCAUGUGUAGCGGUGGAAUGCGUAGAUAUAUGGAAGAAUACCAGUGGCGAAGGCGGCUCUCUGGUCUGCAACUGACGCUGAGGCUCGAAAGCAUGGGUAGCGAACAGGAUUAGAUACCCUUGGUAGUCCAUGCCGUAAACGAUGAGUGCUAAGUGUUGGGAGGCUUCCGCCUCUCAGUGCUGCAGCUAACGCACUAAGCACUCCGCCUGG